AUAAUGUGAAGGUUACUAUAGAACUGCCUUUCUUUUAUGCCUGCGACACUUAGGCCAACCGUUGCCACUAUGGUGAGCUGUUUGGUAAACUAGGGCUUCACUUUUUCCAUAUCCCGCUUUCUAACUCAGAACGCACUAAAAUCUAAAUCUCAAAAUAUUUUUCUUUUAAAAUUUCAAAUCCCUAAUUUCUCUCUUUUCACAAACAGAAUAUUAGAAAAUCCCAUUUCAUAUGAGUUCGAUUUCAACAAUCAAGCUUUGUUCAUUUUUAGAUUUCAACUAGUUUCAAUUACAUUGAAGUUCUUCAUUUUUAGAUUUCAAGGACGUUCAAUUUCAACUAGGUGUCAUUAAAUUUCUUCAUCUUUGGAUUCCAACGAGGUUCAAUUUCAAGGUGGUUCUUCAAUUUUUCAUUUUCAAGUUUCAUCGGGGUUUAAUUUCAACAAGGUUAGUUCAAUUUAUUUUAUUUUUGAAGUUGAUUCCUCUUCCCAUGGCUAUGGUUUUAUUGAUAAUUUUUAACAUAAGAACAAUUUUUAUUUUUCAAUGGCAUCGUAUCCUAUUUUGUUGUCGAGAUUGAAGGGUUUUCCAAGGCCGUAGUACCGUUCCCUGCACACCACCGCUGAAUUGUUUCUUGGGAACCACCGCGCCACAAAUUCUCCUUGACACUCCUGUGUCUAUCUGUCGCGUGGCCUCCGAACGUGUAAGGGUGUAUGUGUUUGUGUAUAUAUGUUAUUGUGUUGUGGUUGAUAUUUGUCCAAUGAGAAGUUUUUAUUUUCAAUAUUAAUCUAAGAUUGGAUUUUUUAUAUAAAUUGUUAUACAUUAAUUGUUUUUUUCCUGAGUUUCUAGCCGAUGAACUUAUUGGGUUGAUUCUGCAAUGUUUUUGAAUAUACAUUAUUGUUCACGUACCACACCUCAUUGCAAGUGCAAACUGGAUAUUUGGAGAACUAGACUCUUUUCAACCAAAGGUACAGGAAGUUUUUCCUCAUGCAAAGGUGGCUUGCUACAGACUCCAAUUUUCGGGGUUAAAUCAUUUGUCUUUUAGCUAAGUGUGGAGGAAAACAUAUGCGUGGUUUGAAAUGAUGGAGAUUUGGCUAUUGAAUCUCUUCCAAAUAUGAUUCAAGGUAAUCUUAAUUGCUAUUGAUACAAUCAUUGUUAUAAUUGGGUUUUAGGUGCAUAAAACAAAUUAGGAUGUCAUAUAUUAAUGUUCUUAAUACAAGUGAGAGGACAUAUAUACUACAUUUUUCUAUCUUAUUUUGAUUAGAAUUGAUUCUACUAUAAUUAUUUCCUUUUGAUUCCAAUUAAUUAUUUUUUUUCUUAUUGUUUUGAGUAUUGGAGUAUUCCUAUACUUCUUGUGAUUGAUGCACCGCAACUGAUUUGUUAGUCAAGGAAACAACAUAACAAUACUGAUUGUGGAUACUAUGUGAUGAAAAAUAUGUUGGAUAUUGUCUCUGCCAAUAUAACUGAAUCUUGGAUGCAGGUAUUUAAUUAUCCUACAGAAUUGACACAAGAAGAUUUGUAUGAUUUGCGACUCCGUUGGACAAAAUGUUUCUUUGAGUUAUAUAAAGGAUAACUUUAUGUUUCUCGUGGAUGCGUGUUGGUUUUUCAAGUGCGCGAAAGUACUUUAUGUUUCUUUGAGAUAAUUAUCUUGUAAUAGAAAAUCGUGUGUAAACCUUUCUUAUCAUUUUGAACACUUGUUUAUUCUAGAUUAAUAUUUUUGUAUAUUUUGACGAACAUAUAUAUGCAUCUUAGCUAUUUGGUCUGUGUGUUGUGAGUAUAAAAUAUAUAGCUCUUUGGUCUGUGUGGUAUAUGCAUCUUAUAUUGAAAAUUAGGUACAGAAAAAAUUACAAGUUAAAACAGGAA
Vicia villosa (hairy vetch) is the source of this 1854-nucleotide long non-coding RNA. RefSeq lists it as uncharacterized. NCBI's taxonomy places the organism in Eukaryota, Viridiplantae, Streptophyta, Magnoliopsida, Fabales, Fabaceae. The record is from RefSeq and is a predicted model, not a curated record. The transcript is spliced from 4 exons.